RNAcentral lists this ribosomal RNA (1514 nucleotides) under uncultured bacterium. RNAcentral describes it as "16S ribosomal RNA". It matches the Rfam family "Bacterial small subunit ribosomal RNA". The record is from RNAcentral.
UGGCUCAGGAUGAACGCCGGCGGUGUGCCUAAUACAUGCAAGUCGUACGCACUGGCCCAACUGAUUGAUGGUGCUUGCACCUGAUUGACGAUGGAUCACCAGUGAGUGGCGGACGGGUGAGUAACACGUAGGUAACCUGCCCCGGAGCGGGGGAUAACAUUUGGAAACAGAUGCUAAUACCGCAUAACAAUAAAAGCCGCAUGGCUUUUAUUUGAAAGAUGGCUUUGGCUAUCACUCUGGGAUGGACCUGCGGUGCAUUAGCUAGUUGGUAAGGUAACGGCUUACCAAGGCGAUGAUGCAUAGCCGAGUUGAGAGACUGAUCGGCCACAAUGGAACUGAGACACGGUCCAUACUCCUACGGGAGGCAGCAGUAGGGAAUCUUCCACAAUGGGCGCAAGCCUGAUGGAGCAACACCGCGUGAGUGAAGAAGGGUUUCGGCUCGUAAAGCUCUGUUGUUGGAGAAGAACGUGCGUGAGAGUAACUGUUCAUGCAGUGACGGUAUCCAACCAGAAAGUCACGGCUAACUACGUGCCAGCAGCCGCGGUAAUACGUAGGUGGCAAGCGUUAUCCGGAUUUAUUGGGCGUAAAGCGAGCGCAGGCGGUUGCUUAGGUCUGAUGUGAAAGCCUUCGGCUUAACCGAAGAAGUGCAUCGGAAACCGGGCGACUUGAGUGCAGAAGAGGACAGUGGAACUCCAUGUGUAGCGGUGGAAUGCGUAGAUAUAUGGAAGAACACCAGUGGCGAAGGCGGCUGUCUGGUCUGCAACUGACGCUGAGGCUCGAAAGCAUGGGUAGCGAACAGGAUUAGAUACCCUGGUAGUCCAUGCCGUAAACGAUGAGUGCUAGGUGUUGGAGGGUUUCCGCCCUUCAGUGCCGGAGCUAACGCAUUAAGCACUCCGCCUGGGGAGUACGACCGCAAGGUUGAAACUCAAAGGAAUUGACGGGGGCCCGCACAAGCGGUGGAGCAUGUGGUUUAAUUCGAAGCUACGCGAAGAACCUUACCAGGUCUUGACAUCUUGCGCUAACCUUAGAGAUAAGGCGUUCCCUUCGGGGACGCAAUGACAGGUGGUGCAUGGUCGUCGUCAGCUCGUGUCGUGAGAUGUUGGGUUAAGUCCCGCAACGAGCGCAACCCUUGUUACUAGUUGCCAGCAUUGAGUUGGGCACUCUAGUGAGACUGCCGGUGACAAACCGGAGGAAGGUGGGGACGACGUCAGAUCAUCAUGCCCCUUAUGACCUGGGCUACACACGUGCUACAAUGGACGGUACAACGAGUUGCAAACUCGCGAGAGCAAGCUAAUCUCUUAAAGCCGUUCUCAGUUCGGACUGUAGGCUGCAACUCGCCUACACGAAGUCGGAAUCGCUAGUAAUCGCGGAUCAGCAUGCCGCGGUGAAUACGUUCCCGGGCCUUGUACACACCGCCCGUCACACCAUGGGAGUUUGUAACGCCCAAAGUCGGUGGCCUAACCUUUGUGGAGGGAGCCGCCUAAGGCGGGACAGAUGACUGGGGUGAAGUCGUA